UGCUGUCCAUGGCUGGAUGUGAAGGCUUCUGCUGGGUCAGGCUGCUCCUGUAAACUGGAAGCCCUCACCAUACUGCUGAGUGAGAUGGGGAUCAGUGUGUAUGUGCAGUGCUAGGAGGGAAGGAAAUGGAUGGGUGCUGGGGAGAGAGCUAAUGGCUGCUAAUCCCCUCCCCUUCCUAGGCUGUCACUGACUCCCUACAGAUGUUUUACAGCAGAGUGCAUGAGGUGGGUGUCUGAGUGCAUAGUUUGUGUGAGUGUGUGAUCUGUGAGUAGAGAAGGAGUUAGGCAGGUAUGUCAUUUUUGGGGGUCUUUGCAUAUUUUGCAAAUAAAAAUAAAAGUAACAAAAACGGUGUGGGUGCGGUGGCCGCGGGGUGCAGGGGAAGGUAAGUUUUACUUUCCUCAAGCUGUCUCAAAUGGUUGCCGCCAUCUUGGUCAAGAAGGUCAUCUUCAACUCCUGGUGCUUGAGUUGCCAGUAGCGGCAUUGGUACUGUAUUGUAGAGCAUGCGCGGGAAGUAGAACACUGAGGUCUAUUGAGGAUUCCGCAAGACUGCGGGAGUCUCUAUAGAUAAUGCCUGAAUCCCACGACAGCUGCUGGGAUUGGAAAAACGUUGAUGGCAGAGAUCCACCUUUUGUCAACCUCAUAAAAAAAUAUAACGAACUACCCUUAAUCUCUGUCAAUAUACAAAAUAUAAUGAAACA
Molecule: non-coding RNA, 698 nt
Organism: Pelobates cultripes (western spadefoot toad)
Lineage: Eukaryota; Metazoa; Chordata; Amphibia; Anura; Pelobatidae
Source: the annotation of a GenBank genome assembly